This 292-nucleotide ribosomal RNA is filed under the name uncultured bacterium. RNAcentral describes it as "partial 16S ribosomal RNA". It matches the Rfam family "Bacterial small subunit ribosomal RNA", at positions 505 to 796 of the family's 1533-position model. The record is from RNAcentral.
GUGCCAGCCGCCGCGGUAAUACGGAGGGUGCAAGCGUUAUCCGGAUUCAUUGGGUUUAAAGGGUGCGCAGGCGGAAUGAUAAGUCAGUGGUGAAAUCCUACGGCUCAACUGUAGAACUGCCAUUGAUACUGUCAUUCUUGAGUAUAGUUGAAGUGGGUGGAAUGUAUCAUGUAGCGGUGAAAUGCAUAGAUAUGAUACAGAACUCCGAUAGCGAAGGCAACUCACUAAACUAAAACUGACGCUCAUGCACGAAAGCGUGGGGAGCAAACAGGAUUAGAUACCCUCGUAGUCC